CAGCCACUGGUUGGCUGGGUGCCCUUAUCUCCUGGAGGUCUCCGGUUCCUCUUUGUGACAUUGAGAUACAUAGUACCAACUUCAGAGCUUCUUGUGAUGAAAGGAGCUGGCCUGUUCAAACAGGCUGGGAGAGGACGUGCUCAAUGGGUACUGCUGUGUCCUGAGAUCUGGCUGCCCUUAAACUUGUGGCUGUCCUCCUGAUUUUGCUUUCUGAAUGCUGGGAUUGCAAGCGAGAAUGAGUACUAUCACUCUCAGCAGCCCUUCAAAAGGUCUGACCCGGACCUAGGGAUUCUCUGGCACCACCAGGCCUGGGGUUCCUGGCUGCCUGAGACUUCUUUCCAGCAGCAUCUACAUUGGACUAGCCUGACUCCAUCUGGCCGCUGGGCUGCAGCAAAGAGCUUCCCUUGACGCUUUCAACAGGACUUAAAAAAAAAAAAUAGUAGAAAACCUUUUUUGGAUUGCUGCCUGCGGCAGACACAGUUUAAAUUAACUUAAACCAUUUUCUCCAAACCGCUCCCCCCCUUUACUGAUCCUUUUUCACGGAGGAGGGAAUAGAAAGCCUUUUCAGGAAAAAGCUUCAGGAAGAGCCUAUCUUUCCGCUCUCCAGAGGAUGCCAGGCCAGGAGAUGCUAAAGUUUGCAGCGAGCGAAGCAGGGAAGUGGCUUUUAAGGAGGAAUGGGAAAGAACUCGGGUGUAGCGCGUGGGGCCCUGGGGGAGAGCGCGAGGUCCCGCCGCACCGCCGCGUGUGGUCGCUAGGGGGCACCCGGGUCCCGUGCCUGCCAGAGCCAGAGCAGCAACGGUGAGGAGGCUGGUGCCGAAGCCUGCAAAGCCUGCCAAGCCUGCCACCCGACCCCGCGCUCGGCAGUCGCUUCCUAUGACCCCAGCAAGCCCAGCGCGGCGGCUCGCGCUCCUCCCUCCCAUCGUACCUGUUCCAUUUCUUUGUCAGACCUAUGCGUAGCUCCCCUCCCUCUCUCCUUCCCUUCCUCCCUCCCUCCUUCCCUUUCUCCCCAUUUCUUUCCUCCAUUCCUGCCGCUCAUUCUUUUACAGUGUCUUCCACCUACCCAUGCUCCCCUCCUCCCAAGCACUCUUCCUUCCCCCUUUUGCUCUCUCGCUUCUGGAUUCUGGAUUUGGCCUGAAUAACUUCAGAUUUUCUGCCAGCUGACUCGACCAGAGAGGUCAGCUUGUCUGCACCCCAGACCAGUCUCCGCGGCUGUGUGAGAAUGUGAGAUGGAGGCCUUCCGUGUAUAGGGGAGGCUCCGUCCCUCCCUGGAUCCGCAUUCCAGCUGUGUCUGAGAUCUCCAGGAAGCUUUAAAACAACGCGGAGCGCCAGGUUGAGCAUAAAGAUGACCUUUCAAUCGAUGACGAUGACGUAUUGGAGAUUUGCUGAGAUAUGGUCCCUGUGGACUUAGGAGCUCCUGGUUUGUGGCUGCUCAGAGGAGCCGAGAGAUCUGAGGAUAAAUGCAGGAUCCACAGAGGGAAAGGAGAAGCCUCGGAAUGUGGUAAAGAGGAAGCUCGCAUGGCCCCUUCCAGGAAAAUCAAGUGAAAUUUCUGGAAUAAAGGUUAAAGUGGCUGCUGUA
Molecule: long non-coding RNA, 1576 nt
Organism: Peromyscus californicus insignis
Lineage: Eukaryota; Metazoa; Chordata; Mammalia; Rodentia; Cricetidae
Exons: 3
Source: RefSeq, a predicted model, not a curated record